GGGCGUGUUCCAGAGCGGCCAAAUGGGGCAGACUGUAAAUCUGCUGGCUUAUGCCUUCGGUGGUUCGAAUCCAUCCGCGCCCA
Molecule: transfer RNA, 83 nt
Filed under: Muribaculaceae bacterium
Lineage: Bacteria; Pseudomonadati; Bacteroidota; Bacteroidia; Bacteroidales; Muribaculaceae
Description: tRNA-Tyr
Rfam family: tRNA
About the family: Transfer RNA (tRNA) molecules are approximately 80 nucleotides in length. Their secondary structure includes four short double-helical elements and three loops (D, anti-codon, and T loops). Further hydrogen bonds mediate the characteristic L-shaped molecular structure. tRNAs have two regions of fundamental functional importance: the anti-codon, which is responsible for specific mRNA codon recognition, and the 3' end, to which the tRNAs corresponding amino acid is attached (by aminoacyl-tRNA synthetases). tRNAs cope with the degeneracy of the genetic code in two manners: having more than one tRNA (with a specific anti-codon) for a particular amino acid; and 'wobble' base-pairing, i.e. permitting non-standard base-pairing at the 3rd anti-codon position.
Source: RNAcentral